This is a long non-coding RNA of Micropterus dolomieu (smallmouth bass), 828 nucleotides long. RefSeq lists it as uncharacterized. The transcript has 4 exons. Lineage: Eukaryota; Metazoa; Chordata; Actinopteri; Centrarchiformes; Centrarchidae. The record is from RefSeq and is a predicted model, not a curated record.
CGUUACAUUUAAACAUCAAAAGGAUUUACAGUUAACGUUAGACCUACCGUUAAUAUUGAACCCACCAUAUGUUUAACAUGCUAGGUUGGCCACAUAACGGAAAAUGAUAUAACGUUAACGUUACUGCCUCUCAUAACGAACCGACAACCCCACAUACAGUCACAUCCCGAUGUGAAAAAACGUUACAACUAGCUAGCUUUUCGUGUCGCGUUUUCUCCAUUAUUUUAAAAUUGUACAUUUAGCUUUCACGUUAUUUUAUUAUUACCAGGAAGUGAACCAGGCAGCUCCCAGGGCUCUGCCUCUUAAUGCUGUCCUGAACAGGUCUUUUGAAAGGUGCCACCAGCUGGUAGCUGGCUAUCAUGAUUGUGUUGCAAGAUUUUCUGUACUCCAGCACAGUUGUUUAGACAGCAGGAUGAGAUGACGUGGGCACAUCAUAAACAAACAGGUUAUUCAAGUGUCUCUCCUGCUGCUCUCUAUCAUAGCAGCCACCAGCCUCGACACUGCUCCUGGUCCUGCGUGCCUCUGUCCACGGGCCCAGAGGAAGAGCAUGUCCAGCACCAAGGCUCCCAGGUUGUCCCUGGUCAGGAGAGCAGAAUAUACAAAAGAAAUUUUACAUCGGCUGAACUGAACAUUAACAAACAUACUAUAUGAAAUUUGCAAACAGUCUAUUCGUGUGUUAGUAUUAUAUUCUCCAUGCAGUUGGAAGAAAAACCAUGUAUACAUUAUAGAUAAGUAUUAAUCAAAUCUUGGAGCUUAAGCUAUGCACCACUUGUUUCCAAAGGAAAACGUUUAUUGGACAACUUCCAUAAAAUACACAAAACAUUAAAA